GCGAAAGCAAGAAUUCCUCGCUAGAAUCCGACCCCGGGCCGAUUUGCGUGGCUUCUGUGCGGCCCUUUCUGCGCCAUGGACUUCUGAUCCGGGGCCUCUCGGAUCUUGGGGGGAAGAAGGUGGGUGGCGGGCGGUGGGCGGUGAGCCGGCCGGGAGAUGGCCGGCGGGAAGGAGCCGAUCGAGGUCAAGUUCCGGCUCUUCGACGGCACGGACAUCGGCCCCAGCAAGUACGACCCCGCCACCACCGUCUCCGCGCUCAAGGACUUCAUCCUCGCCCGGUGGCCGCAAGAUAAGGAAAUAACUCCAAAAACUGUCAAUGACCUGAAGCUCAUCAAUGGUGGAAAGAUAUUGGAGAAUAACCGGACACUUGCCGAGUCGCGUGUUACAAUAGGAGAGGUCCCUGGAGGUGUAAUUACAAUGCAUGUGGUAGUGCGCCCUCCACAAGUUGACAAAAACCAGAAGCAGCUGGGCAAUUCCCCCAAGCAGAACAGAUGCGGAUGCACCAUACUGUGAUACGGCACCCCCCUGCACGAGGCCGAAGGCGGUGAUGGCGUGAGGAGCGCCGGCCACGCGAAGCCGAGCCGUGUAUGAGUGGGAGCCAGUGAUGAAGUAGAAGAGGGACGUUGAAAAUGAGCACUGAUGAUCUAUUACUAGCGGGAGCCAGUGAUGAAGUAGAGGGGGUUGAAGAUGAACAAUGCACGAUCUGUUUUCGACUUUUCGGACUUUUCGG
RNAcentral lists this ribosomal RNA (730 nucleotides) under Triticum aestivum (bread wheat). RNAcentral describes it as "partial small subunit ribosomal RNA". The record is from RNAcentral. Lineage: Eukaryota; Viridiplantae; Streptophyta; Magnoliopsida; Poales; Poaceae.